GAUGAACGCUGGCGGCGUGCCUAAUACAUGCAAGUCGAGCGAACGGACGAGAAGCUUGCUUCUCUGAUGUUAGCGGCGGACGGGUGAGUAACACGUGGAUAACCUACCUAUAAGACUGGGAUAACUUCGGGAAACCGGAGCUAAUACCGGAUAAUAUUUUGAACCGCGUGGUUCAAAAGUGAAAGACGGUCUUGCUGUCACUUAUAGAUGGAUCCGCGCUGCAUUAGCUAGUUGGUAAGGUAACGGCUUACCAAGGCAACGAUGCAUAGCCGACCUGAGAGGGUGAUCGGCCACACUGGAACUGAGACACGGUCCAGACUCCUACGGGAGGCAGCAGUAGGGAAUCUUCCGCAAUGGGCGAAAGCCUGACGGAGCAACGCCGCGUGAGUGAUGAAGGUCUUCGGAUCGUAAAACUCUGUUAUUAGGGAAGAACAUAUGUGUAAGUAACUGUGCACAUCUUGACGGUACCUAAUCAGAAAGCCACGGCUAACUACGUGCCAGCAGCCGCGGUAAUACGUAGGUGGCAAGCGUUAUCCGGAAUUAUUGGGCGUAAAGCGCGCGUAGGCGGUUUUUUAAGUCUGAUGUGAAAGCCCACGGCUCAACCGUGGAGGGUCAUUGGAAACUGGAAAACUUGAGUGCAGAAGAGGAAAGUGGAAUUCCAUGUGUAGCGGUGAAAUGCGCAGAGAUAUGGAGGAACACCAGUGGCGAAGGCGACUUUCUGGUCUGUAACUGACGCUGAUGUGCGAAAGCGUGGGGAUCAAACAGGAUUAGAUACCCUGGUAGUCCACGCCGUAAACGAUGAGUGCUAAGUGUUAGGGGGUUUCCGCCCCUUAGUGCUGCAGCUAACGCAUUAAGCACUCCGCCUGGGGAGUACGACCGCAAGGUUGAAACUCAAAGGAAUUGACGGGGACCCGCACAAGCGGUGGAGCAUGUAGUUUAAUUCGAAGCAACGCGAAGAACCUUACCAAAUCUUGACAUCCUUUGACAACUCUAGAGAUAGAGCCUUCCCCUUCGGGGGACAAAGUGACAGGUGGUGCAUGGUUGUCGUCAGCUCGUGUCGUGAGAUGUUGGGUUAAGUCCCGCAACGAGCGCAACCCUUAAGCUUAGUUGCCAUCAUUAAGUUGGGCACUCUAAGUUGACUGCCGGUGACAAACCGGAGGAAGGUGGGGAUGACGUCAAAUCAUCAUGCCCCUUAUGAUUUGGGCUACACACGUGCUACAAUGGACAAUACAAAGGGCAGCGAAACCGCGAGGGCAAGCAAAUCCCAUAAAGUUGUUCUCAGUUCGGAUUGUAGUCUGCAACUCGACUACAUGAAGCUGGAAUCGCUAGUAAUCGUAGAUCAGCAUGCUACGGUGAAUACGUUCCCGGGUCU
This 1372-nucleotide ribosomal RNA is filed under the name uncultured bacterium. RNAcentral describes it as "bacterial SSU rRNA". It matches the Rfam family "Bacterial small subunit ribosomal RNA", at positions 28 to 1381 of the family's 1533-position model. The record is from RNAcentral.